AGUACUACGCCGGAUGAACGGAAAUCAUUGAUGUUGAUUAAUAUGUGACAAAAGUCUCUGGUGCUA
This 66-nucleotide transfer RNA is filed under the name Drupina grossularia. RNAcentral describes it as "tRNA-Ile". Lineage: Eukaryota; Metazoa; Mollusca; Gastropoda; Neogastropoda; Muricidae. The record is from RNAcentral.